GCUCAGAUCCAGCCGCCAGAGGUGGGGUUGGGGGAAAACUGAAACUGGUUAGGGCUCUCUCUCACCCUGCUAGUAACUGUUGGCGCCCAGACUCUGUUUCCCGCCCUUCUCUUCCCGCCCAGAGCUCUGUUUCCCGCCUGAACUCCCUGCCCUGUCUAAGGCGUCUUCAUUUGCCUAAGGCGGGAAGAAUGGCGCCUAGGCGGACGCCUUGGACGCCCUAUGGACUAAGGCGGACGCCUUAGGCAUGCACGUAAGGCAAGGCCGACGCCUUGUAACCUGGGGGCGCCUUGACGCCUAGGCGUCGCUUAGGCGACGCCUUAGGGACGCCUUAAAAACAGAGGGUGAUAGGUUUAUUAGGAAAAAGUUAGGAAAUAAAUAUCCUUGAUGGGGGAGGCCGAACGAGAGGAUAAUCAUGGAUAGAAAGAACGAGACUCAUCAAAAGUCACAUCCCGAGAAAUGCGCAUCCAUUGACCGACAGGAUCCCAACACCGAUAGCCCUUGUGCUCAUCACUAUAACCCAUAGUUAAAAAAAGUGCUAGGCGUUAAUUGUGUGUUUUGCCACCGCCUUGCGCUUUUCUGAUCAAAGCGCAUGCUUAUGCACAAUUAUGCGCAGAUUAAGUGCAGUUAUGCGCUAGGCGUUUUGCUAUCGCGUAGAGCCUAGGCGAACUUAAGCGCUCGCUUAGGCACACCUUUUUUAACUAUGUUGUAACCCAGGAGACACAUUCAACAGACCGAGUAGUUAGUUGGGUGUGUUCACGGGGGUGGAGGGGAGCAACAAGAGUGUAGCAAACACAACCAAACAAACGAAGCGAUGACUAGUCACGGGAACGACCAGAAAUACGCUCGAGAUGAAUGUCAUCCUACAAAGCAAGGAAGGCUGAAUGUUGAUGAGGUAGGUGGAAGUAGAAACAACCUCAACCCAAAAGUGUGGUGGAAGAGAGGCAACGAUCUUCAACGUAUGAGCCGCCUCAAGAAGGUGACGAUGCUUGCUCUCAACAACAACAUUCUGAGCAUCAUGUCCACGCUAAGAGAACCGAGCAAGUGUGCCCUGCUCAGCAAGGAAUCCGCGCAACAAACGGUAGAUAAAAUCACGAGUAAAAUCUGCAUGAAAGACACAGAUAGGAGUGGAAAACAGGGUAUGAGGCAUUGCUGCAAACUUCUUCCAAAUAGACAAGACCUCACUACAAGAAGGCAUAAAAUAUAUCCACAUGUGUCGAGAGAUAAUAUAGUAGCAAUAGCCUCCUUUCGAGGCAAAGGGAGCUGGACCCCAAACAUCAAGUGAACAAGAUCAAAAGGAUUUUGAAGUAACACAACUUGUGUUUCCUUUAGGCUAGAAUGAGACUUAGCAACAUCAAUCAUGAUUAGGGAAAUGGUGGAUUAUUGGAGCAUCUGGGAUUGGAUUAGUAGUAAGGAAACAAGGAUCUUGGAGUAGCACAACUUGUGUUUCCUUUAGGUUAAAAGAUAUAGCUACUUGGAUUCUAGGAUGGAGAUAACUUUGGCACUCGGAUUUAUGAUGUUUGGAUCUAAGCUUAGUAGCUUGCAUGUGCCCCAUAUGAAUAUAAUCAUUAAUACGAUACAUGUGGAUCUGAGUUCAUUUUGGUGUCCCUCCCCAAGAAUGUUAUGAGUACAAGAUAAUCAUGGGAGGAUGGUUUGGAUUAAUUCGAAGGAAAGGUAAACAAACCUAACAGUCUAAAGACACACCUUUAGAGACAUAUCCAAGAAGGCCACAUCGAACUAAGGAUGACAAACGAGAGCCACAUGAGUGACCAAGACGAUGAUGCCACAAAGAGUCGGUAGACGAGGAGAGGCGGAGAGACUAGGGACGGUGUCAUCAGAGGUAAGGUGAAGCCAGUCAAGCUCCUAGAGGGCUUGGGAGGUAUAGCGUCGAGGGCCAACAACAAGUAGAGCAUUUGUGUGAGGAUCCUAAUCAGAACAAGAGUAAAGUCAAGAAAGACCCUAGAACCAGAAUCAACAAUCUAACCACCUGAAAUGAGCUGCAUGGGUUGAGGAACAUGAGCAAAACUAGGAACAUGAAAAGAUGAAGUGCUAAGAGUGCCUCGACUAUCGAUUGUGAGGGCAGUUCCUAAGAACAUGAACAUGAGAAUUUGGAGGUCGAAUGAUCGACAAACUAGAAGAAUCAGACGAAGAAGCACUAGGCGGUGAAGAAGUCGGUGUCGAAGUCGUGCAAUUUUUGUUCCUCGUCAAUCUGGCUUGGCGUCCUUCCCUUGUAUGAGGGUUAUGUGUCACGGACUUGACGUCGCAUCCUAUGUUGCCUUGUUGCGGGCCCUUGGCCCCGGCGACAGGUAGCGUCGUGCACACAUCCUGUGGGUUAGACAUUGCGGUGCCGAUUGCCCCUGCUCCUGCUCCGCCGAUAGGUGGUGCUCGAGCGUUUGGCUAUGGCGGUUCCCAGCAGGGGAAGACAUGUUGUGGGAUCAAGGCAGCACACAAAGCAACCUAUAGCCAAGCAAAUAAUGCCCAACCGGACUGGCAUGAAGCGGAGAGUGCACGAGGGUUGUAGGGUAAGCAGUGAAAAUGUCGUCAGGAGCAGACUUCUGCCGCCGUCAGAUUUUGAACCUGGAGUCGAGGGUUGAGGGGAUGAUGAUAGGGGAAGCGAGGAAGGUAGGAAGAGGGCACUUGGACGAGAAAGGCAUCAUCCACCCUAUGCCUGUGCGUCAGCCGCGAUGGUGGACGGUUGUUGGCAGAUUCGAUGUCUACACGUGGAUCUACUACUCGGGAUGGCAUGACAUGGUUUUUGUGGAGUGAGGUGCCACAACUAUUGUGUUGUGUGGGUGAGUUUGGAGAGAUAGAAGUCGUGUUGCACUCUAGUCUAGGCAUUCAAUUGUACAAAGUGCAACUUAUUUAGAGUUUCUGUUCUCUCAAGCUUAAGGCUUUUUCUGAACCAAACCUAGCCCAAGCAACCCAACCUAGCUAUAAAAGUUCUAAUAGCAUGAACUUAUAUCGAUGUGGUUAACUUAUGGAAUUGUAAGAGCGCCGCUUAAGCACCAACAAAUUUUUCCUGGAAUAAAGCCCAACAUGAGAUUGGGUGAGUUAAUCAUUUUACAUCCUUAAGCCCCAACAUGCGCCAAGUUGGGUGGUGCCAUACGGAAGUUUUUUUAGGAGUUAUGAUUGGAGUCUGGUGGCGAUGUAGAACUGAUACUCAGGAGAUAGUCAGUUUUUUGGUGGAUUAUGAGAUUUUAGGUCUAGUUGAGCAUGGUGAUUAUUAUACUGGUGGAUAAAUAGAUCAUUAAUUAAUCUUGGAACAAUUUGGAUUUAGUUAGGUGAUUGUGAGCUUGAACCAAAUUUCACGAUGGAUAAAUAACUUCAAUAGUACAUAUAAAGAUCCAUAGUCCGUCAAUAGAACUUGGUGGUUUAUAUUGGAUUUAGAUAACCAUGAAUUUGGAGUUUAUCUAAACCAUGGUUAUGAUGUUGGUGGAUUGCUUUGUAUUAAAUUCACACUUUUGGAGAUUGAUGAAGUUGGAGAACUUUCGGGUGUAGUAUGAUCAACCUUGGAUAUAUAUCAGAUAUAUAUAGGUUAGAUGAGAGUUUGCAGCAUCAAUCAUGAUUAUGAUAAUUGGUGGAUUAUUGGAGCAUCUGGGAUUGGAUUAGUAGUAAGGAAACAAGGAUUUUGAUGUAACACGAUUUGUGUUUCCUUUAUGCUAGAUGGGACUUAGCAACAUCAAUCAUGAGUAUGGAAAUGGUGGAUUAUUGGAGCAUCUGGGAUUGGAUUAGUACUAAGGAAACAAGGAUCUUGGAGUAGCACAACUUGUGUUUCUUUUAGGUUAAAUGAUAUAGCUACUUGGAUUCUAGGAUGGAGAUAACUUUGGCACUCGGAUUUGUGAUGUUUUGAUCUUAGAUUAGUAGCUUGCAUGUGCCCCAUAUGGAUAUGAUCAUGAAUACGAUACAUGUGGAUCAGAGUUGUUAGAUGUAGGUGAUUUUGGUGUCCCUCCCCAAGAAUGUUAUGAGUACAAGAUCGUCAUGGGAGGAUGGUUUGGAUUAAUUCGGAGGAAAGGUAACUGAACCUGUUUGCGAAGCCGACAAACCUAACAGUCUAAAGAGACACCUCUAGAGACAUAUCCAAGAAGGCCACAUCGAUUUAAGUAUGACAAACGAGAGCCACAUGGGUGACCAAGACGAUGAUGCCACAAAGAGUCGGUAGACAAGGAGAGUAGAGAGACUGGCGACGGUGUCAUCAGAGGGAAGGUGAAGCCAGUCAAGCUCCUAGAGGGCCUGGUUGUUAUAGCGUCGAGGGCCCACAACAAGUAGAGCAUCCGUGUGAGGAUCCUAAUCAAAACAAGAGUUAAAGUCAAGAAUGACCCAACAACCAGAGUCAACAAUCUAACCACAUGAAAUAAGCUGCAUGGGUCGAGGAACAUGAGCAAAACUAGGAACACGAAAAUACGAAGUGCUAAGAGUGCCUCGACUAUUGACUGGGAGGGAAGUUCCUAAGAACAUGAACAUGAGAAUUUGGGGGUCGAAUGGCCGAAAAUCUGGAAGAAUCCCCAAGUGGUGAAACUAGAAGUGUGUGUCGAAGUCGUGCAAUUUUUGUUCCUCGUCGAUCUGGCUUGGCGUCCUUCCCUUGUAUGCGGGUUAUGUGUCACGGACUUGAUGUCGCAUCCUACGUUCCCUUGUUGGGGGCCCUUGGCCCCGGCGACAGGUAGCGUUGUGCACACAUUCUGUGGGUUAGACAUUGCAGUGCCGACUGCCCCUGCUCCUGCUCCACCGAUAGGUGGUGCUGAGCAUUCGGCCAUGGAGGCACCCAGCAGGGGAAGACGGGUUGUGGGAUCGAGGCAGCACACAAAGCAACCCAUAGCCAAGCAGAAGAUGCCCAUGCGGACUGGCAUGGAGCGGAGAGUGCACGAAGGGUGUGGGGGAUGCGAUGAAAAUGUCGUCGGGAGCGGACUACUGUCGUCAUCAGAUUUUGAACCUGGAGUCGAGCGGUGAGGGGAUGAUGAUAGGGGAUGCGUGGAAGGCAGGAAGAGGGCACUUGGAGGAGAAAGUCAUCAUCCACCCUAUGCCUGUGCGUCAGGCGCGAUGGUGGACGGUUGUUAGCAAAUCCGAUGUAUGCAUGUGGAUCUACUACUUGGGAUGGCAUGACAUGGUUGUGGUGUAGUGAGGUGCCACAACUAUUAUGUUGUGUGGGCGAGUUUGGAAAGAUAGAAGUCGUGUUGCACUCUAGUCUAGGCCUUCAACUGUACCAAGUGCAACUUAUUUAGACUUUCUGCUCUCUCAAGCUUAAGCCUUUCUCUGAACCAAAUCUAGCCCAAGAAACCCAACCUAACUAUAAAAGUUCUGACAGCAUGGACUUAUAUUGAUGUGCUUAACUUAUGGAAUUGUAAGAGCACCGCUUAAGCACGAACAACUUUUGCCUGGAUUAAAGCCCAACAUGAGACUGUGUGAGUUAAUCAUUUGACAUCCUUAAGCCCCAGCAUGCACCAAGUUGGGUGGGUGCCAUACGGAAGUUUCUUUGAGGAGUUAUGAUUAGAGUUUGGUGGUGAUGUAGAAGUGAUAUUCAGGAGAUAGUCAAAGUUUUUUGGUGGAUUAUGAGAUUUUAGGUCUAGUUGAGCAUAGUGAUUAUUAUAUUGGUGGAUAAACAGAUCUUUAAUUAAUCUUGGAACAAUUUGGAUUUAGUUAGGUGAUUGUGAUCUUGAACCAAAUUUCACGAUGGAUAAAUAACUUCAAUAGUACAUAUAAAGAUCCAUAGUCCGUCAAUAGAAGUCGGUGGUUUAUAUUGGAUUUAGAUAACAAUGAAUUUGGAGUUUCUUUAAAUCAUUGUUAUGAUAUUGGUGGAUUGCUUUGUGUUAAAUUCACACUUUUGGAGAUUGAUGAAGUUGGAGAACUUUAGGGUGUAGUAUGAUCAACCUUGGAUUGGAUUAGGUUAGAUGAGAGUUUGCAGCAUCAAUCAUGAUUAUGAUAAUUGGUUGAUUAUUGGAGCAUCUGGAAUUGGAUUAAUAAUAAGGAAACAAGGAUUUUGAAGUAACACAACUUGUGUUUCCUUUAGGCUAGAUGAGACUUAGCAACAUCAAUCAUGAUUAUGAAAAUGGUAGAUUAUUGGAGCUUUUGGGAUUGGAUUAGUAGUGAGGAAACAAGAAUCUUGGAGUAGCACAACUUGUGUUUCCUUUAGGUUAAAUGAUAUAGGUACUUGGAUUCUAGGAUGGAGAUAACUUUGGCACUCGGAUUUGUGAUGUUUUAAUCUGAGCUUAGUAGCUUGCAUGUGCCCCAUAUGGAUAUGAUCAUGAAUAUGAUACAUGUGGAUCAGAGUUGUUAGACGUAGGUCAUUUGGUGUCCCUCCCCAAGAAUGUUAUGAGUACAAGAUCAUCAUGGGAGGAUGGUUUGGAUUAAUUCGGAGGAAAGGUAACUGAAUCUAUUUGCAAAGUCGACAAACCUAACAGGCUAAAGACACACCUCUGGAGACAUAUCCAAAAAGACCACAUCGAACUAAGGAUGACAUACGAGAGCCACAUGAGUGACCAAGACGAUGAUGCCACAAAGAGUCGGUAGACGAGGAGAGCGGAGAGACUGGCGACGGUGUCAUCAGAGGGAAGGUGAAGCCAGUCAAGCUCCAAGAGGGUCUGGUUGUUAUAGCGCCGAGGGCCCACAACAAGUAGAGCAUCCGUGUGAGGAUCCUAAUUAGAACAAGGGUUAGUCAAGAAUGACCCUACAACCAGAGUCAACAAUCUAACCAUCUGAAAUGGGCUGCAUGGGUCGAAGAACAUGAGCAAAACUAGGAACAUGAAAAGACGAAGUGCUAAGAGUGCCUCGACUAUUGACUGGGAGGGAAGUUCCUAAGAACAUGAACAUGAGAAUUUGGGGGUCGAAUGGCCGACAAACUGGAAGAAUCCCCAAGUGGUGAAACUAGAAGUGUGUGUCGAAGUCGUGCAAUUUUUGUUCCUCGUCGAUCUGGCUUGGUGUCCUUCCCUUGUAUGCGGGUUAUGUGUCACGGACUUGAUGUCGCAUCCUACGUUCCCUUGUUGGGGGCCCUUGGCCCCGGCGACAGGUAGCGUCGUGCACACAUCCUGUGGGUUAGACAUUGCGGUGCCGACUACCCAUGCUCCUGCUCCGCCGAUAGGUGGUGCUCGAGCAUUCGGCCAUGGAGGCACCCAGCAGGGGAAGACGGGUUGUGGGAUCGAGGCAGCACACAAAGCAACCCGUAGCCAAGCAAAAGAUGCCCAAGCGGACUGGCAUGGAACGGAGAGUGCACGACGGGUGUGUGGGAUGGAGAUGAAAAUGUCGUCGAGAGCGGACUACCGCCGUCGUCAGAUUUUGAACCUGGAGUCGAGCGGUGAGGGGAUGAUGAUAGGGGAUGCGAGGAAGGCAGGAAGAGGGCACUUGGAGGAGAAAGUCAUCAUCCACCCUAUGCCUGUGCGUCAGGCGCGAUGGUGGACGGUUGUUAGCAAAUCCGAUGUAUGCACGUGGAUCUACUACUUGGGAUGGCAUGACAUGGUUGUGGUGGAGUGAGGUGCCACAACUAUUAUGUUGUGUGGGUGAGUUUGGAGAGAUAGAAGUCGUGUUGCACUCUAGUCUAGGCCUUCAACUGUACCAAAUGCAACUUACUUAGAGUUUCUGCUCUCUCAAGCUUAAGCCUUUCUCUGAACCAAAUCUAGCCCAAGAAACCCAACCUAGCUAUAAAAGUUCUGAUAGCAUGUACUUAUAUCAAUGUGCUUAACUUAUGGAAUUGUAAGAACACCGCUUAAGCACGAACAACUUUUGCCUGGAUUAAAGCCCAACAUGAGACUGUGUGAGUUAAUCAUUUUACAUACUUAAGCCCCAACAUGCACCAAGUCGGGUGGUGCCAUACGGAAGUUUUAUUGAGGAGUUAUGAUUGGAGUCUGGUGGUGAUGUAGAAGUGAUAUUCAGGAGAUAGUCAAAGUUUUUUGGUGGAUUAUGAGAUUUUAGGUCUAGUUGAGCAUGGUGAUUAUUAUAUUGGUGGAUAAACAGAUCUUUAAUUAAUCUUGGAACAAUUUGGAUUUAGUUAGGUGAUUGUGAUCUUGAACCAAAUUUCACGAUGGAUAAAAAACUUCAAUAGUACAUAUAAAGAUCCAUAGUCCGGCAAUAGAAGUUGGUGGUUUAUAUUGGAUUUAGAUAACAAUGAAUUUGGAGUUUCUUUAAAUCAUUGUUAUGAUAUUGGUGGAUUGCUUUGUGUUAAAUUCACACUUUUGGAGAUUGAUGAAGUUGGAGAACUUUAGGGUGUAGUAUGAUCAACCUUGGAUUUGAUUAGGUUAGAUGAGAGUUUGCAGCAUCAAUCAUGAUUAUGAUAAUUGGUUGAUUAUUGGAGCAUCUGGAAUUGGAUUAAUAAUAAGGAAACAAGGAUUUUGAAGUAACACAACUUGUGUUUCCUUUAGGCUAGAUGAGACUUAGCAACAUCAAUCAUGAUUAUGGAAAUGGUAGAUUAUUGGAGCUUUUGGGAUUGGAUUAGUAGUGAGGAAACAAGAAUCUUGGAGUAGCACAACUUGUGUUUCCUUUAGGUUAAAUGAUAUAGGUACUUAGAUUCUAGGAUGGAGAUAACUUUGGCACUCGGAUUUGUGAUGUUUUAAUCUAAGCUUAGUAGCUUGCAUGUGCCUUAUAUGGAUAUGAUCAUGAAUACGAUAUAUGUGGAUCAGAGUUGUUAGACGUAGGUCAUUUUGGUGUCCCUCCCCAAGAAUGUUAUUAGUACAAGAUCAUCGAUGGUUUGGAUUAAUUCGGAGGAAAAGUAACUGAAUCUAUUUGCAAAGUUGACAAACCUGACAGUCUAAAGACACACCUCUAGAGACAUAUCCCAAAAGGCCACAUCGAACUAAGGAUGACAUACGAGAGCCACAUGAGUGACCAAGACGAUGAUGCCACAAAGAAUCGGUAGACGAGGAGAGCGGAGAGACUGGCGACGGUGUCAUCAGAGGGAAGGUGAAGCCAGUCAAGCUCCUAGAGGGCCUGGGAGUUAUAGUGUCGAGGGCCCACAACAAGUAAAGCAUCCGUGUGAGGAUCCUAAUCAGAACAAGAGUUAGUCAAGAAUGACCCUACAACCAGAGUCAACAAUCUAACCAUCUGAAAUGAGCUGCAUGGGUCGAGGAACAUGAGCAAAACUAGGAACAUGAAAAGACGAAGUGCUAAGUGUGCCUCGACUAUUGACUGGGAGGGAAGUUCCUAAGAACAUGAACAUGAGAAUUUGGGGGUCGAAUGGCCGACAAACUGGAAGAAUCCCCAAGUGGUGAAACUAGAAGUGUGUGUCGAAGUCGUGCAAUUUUUGUUCCUCGUCGAUCUGGCUUGGCGUCCUUCCCUUGUAUGCGGGUUAUGUGUCACGGACUUGAUGUCGCAUCCUACGUUCCCUUGUUGGGGGCCCUUGGCCCUAGUGACAGGUAGCGUCGUGCACACAUCCUGUGGGUUAGACAUUGCGGUGCCGACUGCCCCUACUCCUGCUCCGCCGAUAGGUGGUGCUCGAGCAUUCGGCCAUGGAGGCACCCAACAGGGGAAGACGGGUUGUGGGAUCGAGGCAGCACACAAAGCAACCCGUAGCCAAGCAAAAGAUGCCCAAGCGGACUGGCAUGGAGCGGAGAGUGCACGAAGGGUGUGUGGGAUGCGAUGAAAAUGUCGUCGGGAGCGGACUACCGCCGUCGUCUGAUUUUGAACCUGGAGUCGAGCGGUGAGGGGAUGAUGAUAGGGGAUGCGAGGAAGGCAGGAAGAGGGCACUUGGAGGAGAAAGUCAUCAUCCACCCUAUGCCUGUGCGUCAGGCGCGAUGGUGGACGGUUGUUAGCAAAUCCGAUGUAUGCACAUGGAUCUACUACUUGGGAUGGCAUGACAUGGUUGUGGUGGAGUGAGGUGCCACAACUAUUAUGUUGUGUGGGUGAGUUUGGAGAGAUAGAAGUCGUGUUGCACUCUAGUCUAGGCCUUCAACUGUACCAAAUGCAACUUAUUUAGAGUUUCUGCUCUCUCAAGCUUAAGCCUUUCUCUGAACCAAAUCUAGCCCAAGAAACCCAACCUAGCUAUAAAAGUUCUGAUAGCAUGUACUUGUAUCAAUGUGCUUAACUUAUGGAAUUGUAAGAGCAUCGCUUAAGCACCAACAACUUUUGCCUAGAAUAAAGCCCAACAUGAGAUUGUGUGAGUUAAUCAUUUUACAUACUUAAGCCCCAACAUGCGCCAAGUUGGGUGGUGCCAUACGAAAGUUGUUUUGAGGAGUUAUGAUUGGAGUCUGGUGGUGAUGUAAACAGAUCUUUAAUUAAUCUUGAAACAAUUUGGAUUUAGUUAGGUUAUUGUGAUCUUGAACCAAAUUUCACGAUGGAUAAAUAACUUCAAUAGUACAUUUAAAGAUCCAUAGUCCGUCAAUAGAACUUGGUGGUUCAUAUUGGAUUUAGAUAACAAUGAAUUUGGAGCUUAUUUAAAUCAUGGUUAUGACGUUGGUGGAUUGCUUUAUGUUAAAUUCACACUUGUGGAGAUUGAUGAAGUUGGAGAACUUUAGGGUGUAGUAUGGUCAACCUUGGAUAUAUCAGAUUUAUAUAGGUUAGAUUAGAGUUUGCAGCAUCAAUCAUGAUUAUGAUAAUUGGUGGAUUAUUGGAGCAUCUGGGAUUGGAUUAGUAGCAAGGAAACAAGGCUUUUGAAGUAACACAAGUUGGGUUUCCUUUAGGCUAGAUGAGACUUAGCAACAUCAAUCAUGAUUUUGAAAUGUUGGAUUAUUGGAGCAUCUGGGAUUGGAUUAGUAGUAAGGAAACAAGGAUCUUGGAGUAGCACAACUUGUGUUUCCUUUAGGUCAAAUGAUAUAGCUACUUGGAUUCUCGGAUGGAGAUAACUUUGGCACUCGGAUUUGUCAUGUUUUGAUCUAUGCUUAGUAGCUAGCAUGUGCCCCAUAUGGAUAUAAUCAUGAAUACGAUACAUGUGGGACAGAGUUGUUAGACGUAGGUGAUUUUGGUGUCCCUCCCCAAGAAUGUUACGAGUACAAAAUCAUCAUGGGAGGAUGGUUUGGAUUAAUUCGAAGAGAUGGCAAUUUUGGUGGUAUAUGAUAACCUUGUGGGAGUUGGUCUAUGUGAGCCUCAUAAUAGUUGGUAUCAGAGAAAUGGUGUUUAAGUGUUAUAUGGCAACCUUAAUUCUCGCCAAGCAACACCUGAGCUGGAUAUGAAGUAAGGAUAUGGCCCUUGGACUAACCCUUAUACUCCACCUAUUUGAUGAACAUCAUGACCAUGUUUAUGAGUUCUUGGACAAGUUUGUGGUUAUCAUCAUUGAUGACCUCUUGGUCUAUUCUCCCUCUGAGGAAGAUCAUAAGCAACACCUGAGAAUGAUUUUGGAUAACUUCAAGAACCCCAGUUAUAUGCCAAGUUCAAGAAGUAUGAUAUUUGGCUAAAAGAAGUAGGGUUCCGAUGACAUGUUUUGUCCAUAGAAGGUUUGUCAAUAGACCCGUCAAGGAUAGAAUCCGUAACCAACUGGAAGUCCAAACAAAUGUGAAGUCGGAAGUUUCAUCGGACUUAUGAGUUAUUAUCGCAAAUUUGUGAAGACUUUCAAGCAUCACCGAUGACCUAACUCUUGAAGAAAGAUAAGAAGUUUGAAUGAAGGCCCAAGUGUGAAGUGAGCUUUCGAGAGUUUAAGAAAAGGUUAGCCACCCUAGAUAUUUAUACGAGUUUUGAAGUUAUUGUGAUGCAUCUAAGCAUGGACUUCGUUCCGUCUUGAUGCAAUAAGGAAUCUUCCUAGCCUAUCUAUCAAGGCAACUACGUCCUCAUGAAGAGACUUGCCCUACCCAUGAUUUGAAAAUAGCAACAGUAGUGCAUGCUUUAAGUAUGUCUUCUUCUAGAUGGGUGGAUUUGAUGAACCACUAUGACUAUGAUAUCUAUUACCAUCCUGAUAAGGCCAAUGUCGCAGUGGAUACCCUCAGCGGGAAGUCGUGUCCCUGUUCUGCCUUGACCAAGCAGAGCAAUAGUGCUACAUGAAGGCUUCGAGAAGUUUGGUGUAGAGCUAGUCAAUAGUGUCUAUCUCACUAACUUCGAGAUUAGACCCACUCUUAGGAUGAAUCAAGAAGUAUAGAAGAAAUCAAUGAAAUGAUCAAGCAUGGGAAAGCCUUGCAUUCUCAGAAGACAAGCAAUGUGUUCUUUGGUUUGGAGGUCGCAUCUGCAUACCUAACCAAGAAGGUUUGAAGAAGUGGAAUCUACAAGCAGCUCGGGACACCCCUUUAUUCCAUCCACCUAGGGAGUACCAAGUUAUACCAAGACCUCAAGAAGUUGAUGGUGGAAUGGAAUGGAGUUAGAUAUAGCCGCCCUUUUGUUACCAACAUCUCAGGAUGCAAGCGCGGCGGGUUGCAGCUAGCCCGUACUUGCUUAAGCGGGCUCACCUGGUUUAUGCGGGUUGAUGCGGUGGUUUGCAUAAUCCCACGCUAGUUAUUGCGGGUUAAUGUGGCGUCCUGCAUACGCCGCAUGCAGCCAGCUCGUGUAAUUUGGUGGAAUGACUUCAGACGCAACUGAACUAACGCAUGUAGCUCUUGAUAUUUGAGGUUCUCUCUACUCCAGAUGUUCUGGUUGAGCGCCACUACUGUGAAGACCGUCAACCAAACGACAACAUGGAUGAAGGUUCAGGAACCGCAACUUAUGUUGCGACAUGCGAGUUGAGCGACACGCCGUCAUCGAUGAACCAGAGACCCCGGCGCAUGGCUGGGCCUUACCAUGUGGCGCUCUUGCUGUCUCGAAAGAUGUCGGAAGCUAAGUGUGAAGCAUGGUUGCAUGAGUUUUUUGUAGAACAAGACAGAACGAGGAGGUUUCGCAUCUUUUGCGGGAUAUGCGACAACCCGUCGGGCAACGCGGUCACACUCGCGUGAACUCGCAUGCACAAAGUUAGCGAGAUCUUUUUGCGGGGUGGACUAGCGGUUUAACUGGCAGUAUUGUCCCACUUGCACCCUUACCAUUGUCGAAUUAAGGCCAUGACUCUAUCAGGGUCAUAAUUGACCAUUGCCUAAGCUUGCCAUCCUCAACCCAUUACUUAACACCAAAAACAUUUGCGAGCCAACUAGCAGAUAACUACCUCUUCCAGAUUUGAAGUCCCCACAAAGUUCCCAAGAAGGUUGUUGUAUAUAAAGGUACAAAGUUGACCUCCAAACCUGGAAGAGAUUCCAAGAAGCUUUUAAAAUCAAGUCAUCCAUCAAACGGGGCCUCUGCAAAGAAAACCACACAUCGACCCCCACCCCUAACCAACUUACUGCGAGAUCUCAAUUCUUGUCGUUGCUAAAGCUAUAUGUCAGAAGUUAUGCCAUCGAGUGCCUCGGUUCAGUGAAGCAAUCUGAUUGAAGAGCAAGCAACUUGAAGUGAAGACUGUCGCUGAGCAAUUUUUGUAAGCAACCUCACCCAGUGUUUUGUAUCACAUCACUUAAGAUAAUAUAGAUCAAAAUUUUGGACCCAACUUUUAAAAUAUCGACACGGGGGAGUAUAUACCAUCCAGUGGAUUCUAUACUAGCAUCGUUCUUAAGGAAAGUUCUGCCCGAUUGUUCAAACUGUAUAUGCCUAACACCAAAAUACAUCAAGAUGCAAAGGCCGGCAUCUUUAACUGUACCAAGUGCAACUUAGUCAGAGUUUCUCCUCUCUCAAGCUUAAGCCUUUCUCUAAACCAAACCUAGCCCAAGAAAACCCAGCCUAGCUAUCAAGGUUGUGAUAGGACAGACUUAUAUCAAUGUGCUUAACUUACGGAAUUGCAAGAGCACCGCUUGAGCACCAACAACUAUUGCCUGAAAUAAAGCCCAACAUGAGAUAGUGAUUGUAUGAGUCAAUCAUGUUACAUCCUUAAGCCUGCAACACACACCUAGUUGGGUGGUGUCAUACUUAAGUUGUUUUGAGGAGUUAUGAUUGGAAAAUGAGAUAGUUUGAUGGUAAUGUAGAUGUGAUCUUCAGAAGAUAGUCAAAGAUGUUCGGUGGAUUAUGAGAUUUUAGGUAUAGUAGGUGAGCAUGGUGAUUAUUAUAUUUGUGAAUAACAAUAUCUUUAAUUAAUCUUGAAACAAUUUGGAUUUAGUUAGGUGAUUGUGAAUUUGUGAUUUUGAACCAAAUUUCAUGGUGGAUUACGAGAUUUUAGUUGGAUUUAGUUAGGUGAUUGUGAUCUCGAGAAGAUAGUCAAACUUGUUCGGUGGAUUAUGAGAUAUUAGGUCUAAUAGGUGAGCAUGAUGAUUAUUACAUCGGUGGAUAAAAAGAUCUUGAACUAAUCUUUGAAAAAUUUGAAUUUAGUUUGUGAGAUUGUGAUCUUGGACCAAAUUUCAUGGAGAAUUAUGAGAUUUUAGGUGGAUUUAAUUUGGUGAUUGUGAUCUUCAGAAGAUAGUCAAAGAUGUUUAGUGGAUUAUAAGAUUUUAGGUCUGGUAGGCGAGGAUGAUGAUUAUUAUAUUAGUGGAUAAAUAGAUUUUCAAUUAAUCUUGGACAAUUUGGAUUUAGCUAGGUAAUUGUGAUUUUGACCCAAAUUUCACGGUAGAUUAUGAGAUUUCAGGUGGACUUUAGUUGAUAUGACUUUUGAGGAGGUAGUCAAAGAUGUUCGGUCGAUUAUGAGAUUUUAGGUCUAGUAGGUGAACAUGAUGAUUAUUGCAUUGGUGCAUAAAUAGAUCUUUAAUUAAUCUUGAAGCGGCAGGAAGCACAAUCCCACAAUAGGCGCUUAACACCAAGAUUCAUGGGAUAGAAACAUACCCCGUAUCAACACUAUUCCAAAAAGACCGCCACACUUUGGCCUAUGACUUUUAAGCAGUAUGAGGUGCUGAAACAGAACCCAUUCUGGUGUGACAUGAUGGAAAGCUAUGGAGUCUGAACAACUACAGAACUGACGUCAUCCAAGCACUUGGUGGUGUGGAAGGUAUCCUGGAACAUGCCUUAUUUAAGGGAACAUACUACUGUAUUUCCCUACUUGGGAGGGUUUGUUUUGGGAGAAGGCUUCAGGUUUGAGGAAUCAAUCAAGUACAAAAAGCUGACAAAUGCACAGCGUUCUCAGCUUAAUCAAAUCCCCAACAAAAGAUUUACCCUCUGGUGGUCGCCAACCAUGCAUUAAUCGUGCACACGUAUAUGUUAGUUUCCACUUUUCAGGUUCAGCUAGAAUAUUAACUGGUUCCCCGGCCCGGGUCAAAGCCCCUCCUCCAGCAAGCAAUGAACAAGAUCAUGAAGUCAAAUCCUGCUCUGUAUGUGCUGAGGGAGAGAAUCAGAAAGGGUCUAAAGUCGUAUUCAUCUGAACCCACCGAGCCAUAUCUGUCUUCACAGAACUACGGAGAGAUAUUCAGUAAUCAAAUCAUACGGUUUGUGGAUGACAUAAAUGUCUAUCGAGUUACCAUUCACAAAACCUUCGAGGGUAACCUGACGACCAAACCAAUCAAUGGUGCCAUCUUUAUUUUCAAUCCAAGAACUGGUCAACCAACUAUUUCUGAAGGUCAUCCACACAAGUGUAUGGGCUGGACAAAAGCGUCUAGUUUCUCAGCAUAGUAAUCGCACCAGUUUUCCUCAUUCUUAGAUUUAACUGAAUUUGCAUAUGCAUUCCGCCACAGCAUGGAACUCACCGGCCAGAUGGUGACUUUGCCAGCGAAUCUCCCAGAGCAUGAGUUCCUUGCUGACUUGGAUCCAUUGGGACCUAGUCGAAUGAAGCUCCUCAGCUAUCACCUCAGGAUUUGACAUGACAUGCUAAUAUUUUGGAGAAAAACAAGCAGUGGGAUGGUAAGAAGUGCAUCAUUUUGACCUGUCGGCGAACAUCUUGGGUCAGUGGUUAUGUUCGGGAGAAGAAAACCUAUCGUGGUUAGUGGUCAUUACUUGUCAAACUGUAUCAUUAGCGUCAAGUUGAUGUUUCGCUUGGUGUUAUCAUCCUCGUCUAGUUGAUGCUUUGUGAUUUGAGCUUUUUUAAUGAAGCUUAAUGUGUUAUUUCAUCUGGUUGCUCUUCUUCUUAAGAUUGGAUUACUUGCAGAUUUCUUUUUAGCUGGAUUAAGUUUACUAUGUCAGUCAGUGUUUUGUUACAUAUUUCCGUCAGUCAGUUCUGUGCCUGAGACCAAAUCAGUUGUUCUGGGCCUGGUCAAACCGCUAUUGCUUCAGCCAGUUCUGGGAUGGUGACGCCUUGAAGAGUGUGGUCAAAGCAAGCCAGGACAUCACCCUCAUGGCCACGUAAUCACCACCCCCACGCCCAUCAUUUGAUCAUCAAUGAAGCACUGCGGCAUCAGCAUUAAUUUUAACCAUCUUGGCACUGACGAUGAUGCCUCACACCUAGAGAAACUGUGAAAUAAGAAUAAUAUCAGUAAGUGUAACUGUCCCUUGAGAACUUGGAAUAAGUGAUCAUACUAAGAAUUAUAUCAGUAAGUGUAACUGUCCUGAAGAUGAUAAGUGUUGCACUGCCCCUCAGUUAUUGUUUCUGUUUCCGUGGAGCAACGGUCAUAUAAUAUUUGGAGACCUGACGUCACCGGCACGUCUCAUAUGAUCGGAUAUUCUUAUGGCCGUGCACCAAGCCUGUGUGUGAACAGAACAUUUGUCUGACCAUCUCGCUUCGCUUGCUCAGAGACACGGAUAUUCUCAUGUUCAUGCAGUCAGGCCACAGAGACACGAUAUUCUCAUGUUCAUGCAGUCAGGCCACCAACGGCAGCGAGUGUGUACAUUUGUCUUUAGACCAGUAUGAACUACUCGGGUAGAUGGCUGCAUGGCAGCGCUGGACACUCUGGGUACUCUAUUGUUCUUGUUCAUCUUUAAGAAUGCACUGAUAUAUUCAAUGUUCUCUAAUUACUGUCAGAAAUAUCUAUUGUUAGCGUGGCAAGAAACAGAAGAAAACGAAUAAGUAGGAAUGUAUGAUACAAAUUUCUGAGCAUACAUUCUAUGAUAGGAAUUUUAUGAUGUGGUCUCUAUAGGUAUCGACUUUGUGUUUCGCCGUUUCUAGGUUAAGAUAUUUGUGUGACAUACUGACAUCAAGCCUUAGCAGUACAUUUCUAAUGCUGUUUUGGCCUGAAUCAUCAAUUCUGUUGACGUACUUACAGUAUUUGUGUGGGAUUAUAAUAUCUGAAGCUCUGGACAUGUGCAGAAAAAGGAGGCACCUGCUUGGCAAGAAAGUCUAAAUUCAGAAUAUAUGGCUGGACUACUUGAACCUUUUGCAUAAUUUUUUACUGGCAGUAGUUCAACAAUUUACAGUUAGCAUUUUAAGAAAGAGUAUUUGCAUGUGUGCAUCUUCAGCCCUGUUUCUUCUCUUUUAUGUCAAUGCAAUAUGUUACAAUUUUAAAUGAGGCAAUUGACGCAUGCUUUCGGGAGCGACUAGUAUAGAAAAUGGCCCUCCGGUACAAGAAUAGAAAAAUCGAAGCUGGGCCAUUGGAUUGAGGAUGGAUGGCACAGAUUCUGCUGGAGGAUGUGUACAGACAAAUCCAUGCUUCUGUGCAAAAAGGACCUUCGUCUCCGUUGAAUUUGCUUCCUACAUUCUGUGCCAUCAAACGAGAGCCACACCCCUAUUUCAUCUCCCAACUGCUUCCCGACGGUGGAGGCACUCCAGCUCCGGCGUCACAGCGGCAUGAUCUCGGCGGUGACCAUGGGUGGCGACUGCGACGACCCGUCGACCCCGUCCCUAGGGUUCUUGGUCUUGGCCUUGAUAAUUUCUAGGGUUCAUGGUCUGGUGGGAAGAUUGAAUUAUUGGCCUUAAUUGUGAAUAUAAAUGAGCUCACAUGGCGGUCAGAUCCCUAUUCUAGGAUCCGAUCUCUCCUCUCUGAAAUCAACAAAGGUAUGACGAACAAGGGGGAAACUAGCUGUCAGAUCCCUGUCUUAGUAGUUGUAAACAAUUGUGUGGAUUAAUUUAUCAAAUGCUUUUACCCUGAGCUUGAACUACAGGGUUGCAAUGUUUUGGCAUCAACACUUGUUAAAAUAUUAGCAGGGCAAUAGCAUCAAAUUAAGCAUAUAUUCUGAGAUGGUCUUCAUAUACAUGCCAUAUUGCUGUAAAUUAGUUAGGUCUGUUGGUGGAUGAUAGAAGUAGGGAAAAUGACUGAGUUUGGUACUUUGAUAUGAUGGAGUGACCACAACUUACAUUUGGCAUUUUGGCUGACUAAUGACGAAAUGGUAGUGACCCGAACGAUUUCUGUGCAAAUUAGUGAUAGAAGAGAUGAAACUUAUAGGCCCAGAAACAAUUAAUCAUACAGCAUCGAUGUUCUGAACAGAAAUAUGUGUACUUGGUCUCAAGAUGAAUAUUCUGAACAGAAAUGUUGUGUGUUGAACACCUUUCUUAUUUGGUCACUCCAUUUUUGUUCUACAAACAAAAUUAAGCUGAAUGUAUAUCAUAAUAGCAUUGUCCUGAGAUGGGAUAACUAGAGCUUGGGGUUACGGGUUUCCUGAUAAGUAAUGCUGCAUGUGUACUAGUUAAUCAGUUAUCAGUCACUCCAUUUUGUUAACAAAUCUCAUUCUUAGAUGGGGAUAUCCGAAGUCUAAUUUGUGUUCUCUUUUGGUCACGGCGAAAUGCGAGUCUGCAUAUUGUACAUUAAGAAUAAAUAGAAUGUAGCAAGAAGUCAAUCCAGUCCUUUAAUUUUCUCUCAAAAGAACAGUAAAAAACAUUUGCCAAUAUGCGGUCUUCUGUUGUUUCUUAUGCAUUAUGUGCUUUGUAGAUACUAGCUGCCCUAUAGGCAUCAAAUAUACUGGUUGUACUACAGUCAGAACUAAAAUGUUUGGGAGAAAUGUCAAGUUGUAUAUUUUGUAAACCUAAACUUUUGGUCUAGCUUUUCUGUUCUGAAACCUAAAUAACAGGGUGAUUUGGCAUUGUUGCCGCUUGCAUGCACAUGGUCGUGUUUCCUAAUUCUCCUAUUUCCUGUCCAGAGGGUUUCAGAAUAAUUGAUCCAUCCAUGACGUACGCAACAUUGGCGAGAUGAGAGAGCCGUUUGUUCAGCACGGGAGAAGCUCGACCAAGAGGGGGGAAGGAAGAUUGUCUUUGAAUGAUUUGAGGGCCAUGUGAGGAAGAAAUUUUUGAUAGGUGUUAGCUCUCUGUUGUAUAACUGAAUGGUCACCAGUGGACAGUACCAUGUAUGCAUUCGACCUCAAGGUGCAAUCCUGGUCUGCUCUCGACUCGGCGGGCUAGGUUCCCCUGCCGCUCUACGAUCGGCAUCGGCGGCACGGUGUUUGUGUUCGGCGUCCGCGUCAAGGAUCACAAAGCUCUACGAGCUCUGCUUCGACACGACCACCAACAUGACCUGUUCUUGUACCAAAAACGACCCAUCUUAUGUAUCAAUUGAUAUUUAUGUAUGUCUGUUGUGUUGUGUUCUGGUAGGGGUGUUCCAGAUGUUUAGUUCUUUUUUUUUUUUUGAAAUGUCCAGAUGUUUAGUUCUGAUUGAAGAGGCUGGCUUAAUUUUGUCAUGUACUAAAAUAUUUGUGAUGAGGAUUUGUUGUCGUUGAUGUUGUGUACUCAAAUUUUGUGAUAAGUAUUAACAUACCUCUUUGCCCAACUUUCUUGCAUA
Long non-coding RNA from Triticum aestivum (bread wheat), 19343 nucleotides. RefSeq lists it as uncharacterized. The record is from RefSeq and is a predicted model, not a curated record. Lineage: Eukaryota; Viridiplantae; Streptophyta; Magnoliopsida; Poales; Poaceae. The transcript has 5 exons.